GGUACCGUCAUUUUCUUCCCUACUGAAAGCGGUUUACAACCCUAAGGCCUUCUUCCCGCACGCGGCGUUGCUGCAUCAGGCUUGCGCCCAUUGUGCAAGAUUCCCC
RNAcentral lists this ribosomal RNA (106 nucleotides) under uncultured bacterium. RNAcentral's name for it is "partial 16S ribosomal RNA". The record is from RNAcentral.